This 614-nucleotide long non-coding RNA is filed under the name Musa acuminata (dwarf banana). RNAcentral's name for it is "long non-coding RNA (MACU_LNC004842)". Lineage: Eukaryota; Viridiplantae; Streptophyta; Magnoliopsida; Zingiberales; Musaceae. The record is from RNAcentral.
ACUUAUCGAUCCUCCAUGAAUGUAGAGAUGGUGGAUGUUCGGUAUUUUGGAAGAGGUGGAGGAUGAGGCCGGUGAGAGGCUCUUUAACCAUGGAACAAGAGAAUUGCCUUCGGUGCCGCUAGCUGUAUUCUUGGUGUUUGUGACCAAGGUCGAGGACUCAGGACUUGCCAAGGUCGACGAGGCCGGGCUUGGGUUGUAUGAGAUACAAGGACUUGGCUGGUGGGAUGAUGAACGAGGGCUUGGCGAAGCCGAGGGUCCAACAACAUCUCUGCCUUCUGUUGGCUUGCAUCCCUGCACGUUCACAGAUGGAAGGUCGAUGUUUCAGUACAAUUGCCAUUUGAAUUGUCUGCAAAAGGACUUAAGAGAGAGGAUAUUGAUCUAAGCAUCAACCUAGUUAUAUACUUUGGCAGUCAGUACAAGGAAAGAACUAUUUGGUGGACUAGCUCACAUUUUACACCAUAAAGAAGUAACACUUAAUGGGAGAUAUGCUGAAGGAAACCUCAAAUUUUCAAUUUUUUGUCCUAGAGAACCCCAAUUAUCAGAACAUGCCACAGAGGCAGUUAAAUUCACACCUGAAUGUGAGCAUCAAUGCCAGCAAAGCACCGAUCAAGGAA